CCUACGGGCGGCUGCAGUGAGGAAUAUUGGUCAAUGGCCGGAAGGCUGAACCAGCCAUGCCGCGUGAAGGUCAGUGCCCUAUGGGCGUUAAACUUCUUUUGUGCGGGAGCAAUAAUGGUCACGUGUGGCCAGACGAGAGUACCGUACGAAUAAGCAUCGGCUAAAGCCGUGCCAGCAGCCGCGGUAAUACGGGGGAUUCAAGCGUUAUCCGGAUUUAUUUGGGUUAAAGGGUGCGUAGGAUGGGAGGUAAGUCAGCGGUGAAAUGCCCCCGGUCAACGGGGUGAAGUGCCAUUGAUACUGCCUGGCUGGAAUGCGGAUGCCGUGGGAGGAAUGUGUGGUGGAGCGGUGAAAUGCAUAGAUAUCACACAGAACACCGAUUGCGAAGGCAUCUCACGAAUCCGCGAUUGACGCUGAUGCACGAAAGCGUGGGUAUCAAACAGGAUUAGAUACCCCAGUAGUC
This 460-nucleotide ribosomal RNA is filed under the name uncultured bacterium. RNAcentral describes it as "partial 16S ribosomal RNA". It matches the Rfam family "Bacterial small subunit ribosomal RNA", at positions 338 to 795 of the family's 1533-position model. The record is from RNAcentral.